RNAcentral lists this ribosomal RNA (392 nucleotides) under uncultured organism. Its description in RNAcentral is "bacterial SSU rRNA". It matches the Rfam family "Bacterial small subunit ribosomal RNA", at positions 526 to 896 of the family's 1533-position model. The record is from RNAcentral.
CAGAGGGCGCGAGCGUUGUCCGGAAUCACUGGGCGUAAAGGGCGCGUAGGUGGCCACUAUAAGGCCGCGGUGAAAGUUCGGGGCUCAACCCUGAAUCUGCCGCGGCGACUGUAGGGCUUGGGCACUGUAGAGGCAGAUGGAAUUCCGGGUGUAGCGGUGGAAUGCGUAGAGAUCCGGAAGAACACCGGUGGCGAAGGCGGUCUGCUGGGCAGUGGGAGCGCAAGCUCCUCUUAGCCGACACUGAGGCGCGACAGCGUGGGGAGCAAACAGGAUUAGAUACCCUGGUAGUCCACGCCGUAAACGAUGGGCACUAGGUGCUUUGGGGAGCGACCCUCAGGGUACCGGCGCUAACGCAUGAAGUGCCCCGCCUGGGGAGUACGGCCGCAAGGCUG